RNAcentral lists this ribosomal RNA (432 nucleotides) under uncultured bacterium. Its description in RNAcentral is "partial 16S ribosomal RNA". It matches the Rfam family "Bacterial small subunit ribosomal RNA", at positions 29 to 507 of the family's 1533-position model. The record is from RNAcentral.
AACGAACGCUGGCGGCAGGCCUAACACAUGCAAGUCGAGCGAGCAUUUCGGUGCUAGCGGCGGACGGGUGAGUAACGCGUGGGAACGUGCCCUUUUCUGCGGAAUAGUCCUGGGAAACUGGGGGUAAUACCGCAUACGCCCUUUUGGGGAAAGAUUUAUCGGAGAAGGAUCGGCCCGCGUUGGAUUAGGUAGUUGGUGGGGUAAUGGCCCACCAAGCCGACGAUCCAUAGCUGGUUUGAGAGGAUGAUCAGCCACACUGGACUGAGACACGGCCCAGACUCCUACGGGAGGCAGCAGUGGGGAAUCUUAGACAAUGGGGGCAACCCUGAUCUAGCCAUGCCGCGUGAGUGAUGAAGGCCUUAGGGUUGUAAAGCUCUUUCAGCUGGGAAGAUAAUGACGGUACCAGCAGAAGAAGCCCCGGCUAACUCCGUG